Molecule: long non-coding RNA, 1060 nt
Organism: Ornithodoros turicata
Lineage: Eukaryota; Metazoa; Arthropoda; Arachnida; Ixodida; Argasidae
Exons: 4
Source: RefSeq, a predicted model, not a curated record
GAGUCCUCGCAGCCAGUUUCCCAACCCUCGACAUUCUCCAGGGAGAUUUCGAGGUUUAGAAACACUGUGGUUGACGCGGCGCAGCAUAGUGAAGAGGCCCCGUACUCCACUGCGGACGCCUGCGCUAAAAAGAGCACCAUAUCUGAAGCGGGUCGCUCAUGCGACGAAACGACCGUACGGCCAGACGUGAAGCGGGUCAGGUCCUCGCCGAAGUUUGAUGAUGCUGUGCCCAGCACCUCAAAAUGCACAAACGGCCAGGACGCUGGGCGUUUCCAGGAAUGCGGCCGGGAGAUCAGCGACACGAGUGACCUCGCUUCAGGAGUGCACGCAGUGUCCACCAGCAGGACGCGACGGGUUUCGUCUAGAUCGGACCUGUCGUGCGGAGACCUCGACUUGAUAGCACGCUUCGAGGACUAGGAAAACGACUAGUGAGAGAAGACCGCCAAGGUCGAGGAUUCAGAGCAACGCAGCUGCCAUAUUCGACGAAGGAACAUUCGAUGCAGCUCUGAGAUGCCCAAAACUUUGUGUCAUUAUGCAAGCGUUAUGCAAGGCUAAACUUAGCAAGUUGUACUGAGUCAGAAGAAAAGUACAGCAAAGCAGGUAUUGUGUUGUAUUUGCUGUCGGAACCAUGAACUACAGUGCAUUUCAAUCUGUUAAUACCAGGGUGGUUGUCUGAGGCGCGCUACGGGACAGUCAGUUUUCACGGUGUAUCUGUACAUAGUACUCUCAGUCAAUAUUUGGCAGUGUAACGUAUUACUUCUCCACUGUGUAUUAUCACCUGAGCUCUACGAAGAACUGUCGUUGUCACAAACGUGAACUUCCUAACUUAACUGGAAAAAAAUUACUUCGAUCAUUUCCUGUUCUUUUUUGUUUUUCUUUUUUCGAGAGUCACCUGCUUUAACAGGUUUGAAGAUGACAUGUACCAUAAGCUCAAACGUAAUAUAUUACGUGGUUUGGAUGAUGUCUCACUGUGCUUUGUAAAUAUGCUGUGUUACAUAACAGGCCUUGCAAAACGCCGACUCUUUGCUGGCAAAUGCCGCAGUGUGCUGCGUUUUUUCUU